Molecule: non-coding RNA, 100 nt
Organism: Acanthosepion pharaonis
Lineage: Eukaryota; Metazoa; Mollusca; Cephalopoda; Sepiida; Sepiidae
Source: the annotation of a GenBank genome assembly
CAGUCACAUCACGCUGAAAACCCCGGUUUCCGUGCGAUCACUGAAGUUAAGAAUCGCCGAUCACGGUCAGUAAUUGGAUGGGGGACAACUUGCGAACACC